Molecule: ribosomal RNA, 650 nt
Filed under: uncultured bacterium
Lineage: Bacteria
Description: bacterial SSU rRNA
Rfam family: Bacterial small subunit ribosomal RNA
Source: RNAcentral
GUCGUGCGAGAAAGUAUCUUCGGAUAUGAGUAGAGCGGCGGACGGGUGAGUAACGCGUAGGAAUCUACCUAGUAGAAGGGGAUAGCCCGGGGAAACCCGGAUUAAUACCGUAUACCUCCUUCGGGAGAAAGAAGGCCUCUCUUUGAAGCUUUCGCUACUAGAUGAGCCUGCGUAAGAUUAGCUUGUUGGUGAGGUAAAGGCUCACCAAGGCGACGAUCUUUAGCUGGUCUGAGAGGACGAUCAGCCACAUUGGGACUGAGACACGGCCCAGACUCCUACGGGAGGCAGCAGUGGGGAAUAUUGGACAAUGGGCGCAAGCCUGAUCCAGCCAUACCGCGUGUGUGAAGAAGGCCUUCGGGUUGUAAAGCACUUUAAGCAGGGAGAAAAAGUUAUAAGUUAAUACCUUAUAACCCUGAUGUUACCUGCAGAAUAAGCACCGGCUAAUUCCGUGCCAGCAGCCGCGGUAAUACGGAAGGUGCAAGCGUUAAUCGGAAUUACUGGGCGUAAAGCGCGCGUAGGUGGUUUGUUAAGUUGGAUGUGAAAGCCCUGGGCUCAACCUAGGAACUGCAUCCAAAACUAACUCACUAGAGUACGAUAGAGGGAGGUAGAAUUCAUAGUGUAGCGGGUGGAAUGCGUAGAUAUUAUGAAGA